CCAAUAGCGUAUAUUAAAGUUGUUGCAGUUAAAAAGCUCGUAGUUGAAUUUCGGGAUCAGUACGCUGGUCAUGCCUUCGGUAUGUACUGGUGUUACUGGUUCCCACCUUCUGACGAACCGUCAUGUCAUUAAUUUGGUGUGGCGGGGAAUCAGGACUGUUACUUUGAAAAAAUUAGAGUGUUUAAAGCAGGCUCGCGCUUGAAUACAUUAGCAUGGAAUAAUGAAAUAGGACGUUCGAUCCUAUUUUGUUGGUUUCUAGGAUUGACGUAAUGAUUAAUAGGGAUAGUUGGGGGCAUUAGUAUUCAAUUGUCAGAGGUGAAAUUCUUGGAUUUAUUGAAGACUAACUACUGCGAAAGCAUUUGCCAAGGAUGUUUUCAUUAAUCAAGAACGAAAGUUAGGGGAUCGAAGACGAUCAGAUACCGUCGUAGUCUUAACCAUAAACUAUGCCGACUAGGGAUCGGAUGAUGUUAAUUUUUUAAUGACUCAUUCGGCGCCUUACG
Molecule: ribosomal RNA, 500 nt
Filed under: uncultured Glomeromycotina
Lineage: Eukaryota; Fungi; Glomeromycota
Description: partial small subunit ribosomal RNA
Rfam family: Eukaryotic small subunit ribosomal RNA
Source: RNAcentral